CUCAGGCGUCCCAGGAUUGCUCAGGAGCCUGCCCUCUUCGCUCCAUCCCUCCCAGGAGGUCUGGGUCAGCCCGCAUGAGAUCCACAGGGGCUGCAGACUCCGUAUGUCCAGACCCUGGGCUCCCCAAAGGUUGACCGAUUUUGGACCAUGGCCUUGGAAUCACUGGAAACUUCAAAUACAGGAAGAAGCAAUGUCCGUUCUGAAGGAGCACUGGUCACAGCCAGUUAAUCCGCCAUCUCCCUCCUUGAGCGGUGCACACACGGCUGUGCACGCCUUCCGCCUUCUUCUGUCUGCUCCAAACCUUCCCUGACCAAGCAUGUGCUCCUUGGGGUCUUCCUGAAGCCGGUGUCACACCACAAAGGGGACAGAACCCUGGUAACAGGUGAUCCCCGGGUGGAGGGCUUUGCUGUUUUUCAGGAGCUAAAAUCUGCCAUUUCACUGAGCGGAUCCCCCGGUUAACAACAGGAGGGGUGGAAGCCGACAGCUGAGACAGUGGCCUCUGGCUUUAUGAAAGGUGACUUUGAAAUGCCGCAUUUGUUCUGACGACGCCUGGGCAGCUGAGCUGUACUGUGACAAAUGACUCCAGCACGAGGCCACGCUGUCAGGAGCAGUGGGGAAUAAAAGGCUCCUUGUCAGUGGCUCCUCUUUAAAAUUUUCCUUUUUAUUGUGAACUAUUUCAAACACACACAUGGAGAGAAUGGGAGCAUGGAACCCCUUGGUCCACCCCACCCAGAUGUGAUAAUUAGCAGGAUUUUGUCACUCUCCAACCACGUCCGUCCUCUCCCUCUCCCUCUCCUUAUCCCCCCCUCCCUGCCAAAGUAUUUAAAAUAAAUCUCAACUGUAAUGUGACUUCACCUCUAUAUAAUUUCUCUCUUGAUAAAAAAAAAAGAGGACAUUUUCUUACAUAACCACAAAGCCACCAUCACGUCUAAUAAAAUAAAUAUUAAC
Molecule: long non-coding RNA, 948 nt
Organism: Chinchilla lanigera (long-tailed chinchilla)
Lineage: Eukaryota; Metazoa; Chordata; Mammalia; Rodentia; Chinchillidae
Source: Ensembl